GGUUCCGUAGCUCAGUCGGUAGAGCAGAGGACUGAAAAUCCUCGUGUCGGUGGUUCGAUUCCGCUCGGAACCACCA
Molecule: transfer RNA, 76 nt
Filed under: Faecalibacillus intestinalis
Lineage: Bacteria; Bacillati; Bacillota; Erysipelotrichia; Erysipelotrichales; Coprobacillaceae
Description: tRNA-Phe
Rfam family: tRNA
About the family: Transfer RNA (tRNA) molecules are approximately 80 nucleotides in length. Their secondary structure includes four short double-helical elements and three loops (D, anti-codon, and T loops).
Source: RNAcentral